UAUUUCAAGGGAUUUACUGCAUGCAAUUGAAUAUUUACAUAAUGAAGGAAAGAUUCAUAGAGAUAUCAAAGCGGCAAACAUUUUAUUGUCUGAGAAAGGUGAUGUUAAGGUUGCAGACUUUGGUGUUUCAGCGCAAUUAACAAGGACGAUAUCACAGAGAAAG
Hibiscus syriacus is the source of this 163-nucleotide long non-coding RNA. RefSeq lists it as uncharacterized. The record is from RefSeq and is a predicted model, not a curated record. The transcript is spliced from 3 exons. Lineage: Eukaryota; Viridiplantae; Streptophyta; Magnoliopsida; Malvales; Malvaceae.